UACGGAGGGGGCUAGCGUUGUUAGGAAUUACUGGGCGUCAAGCGCGCGUAGGCGGGCCGUUAUGUCGAGGGUGAAAUCCCGGGGCUCAACCCCGGAACUGCCUUCGAUACUGGCAGCCUAGAGGUCGUGGGAGGUGAGUGGAAUGCCGAGUGUAGAGGUGAAAUUCGUAGUUAUUCGGCUGAACACCCGUGGCGAAGGCGGCUCACUGGCCCGAUACUGACGCUGAGGUGCGAAAGCGUGGUGAGCACACAGG
Molecule: ribosomal RNA, 253 nt
Filed under: uncultured bacterium
Lineage: Bacteria
Description: partial 16S ribosomal RNA
Rfam family: Bacterial small subunit ribosomal RNA
Source: RNAcentral